ACGUUGAAACGCCGGUUCCCGUACGAGCUCCGCAGUUAAGCAACAUCAAAUUAUAUCAGUACCUAGAUGAGUAACCACUUGGGAAACCCAGGUGCUGUAA
Non-coding RNA from Acanthosepion pharaonis, 100 nucleotides. The record is from the annotation of a GenBank genome assembly. NCBI's taxonomy places the organism in Eukaryota, Metazoa, Mollusca, Cephalopoda, Sepiida, Sepiidae.